RNAcentral lists this ribosomal RNA (735 nucleotides) under bacterium IMCC11479. RNAcentral describes it as "bacterial SSU rRNA". It matches the Rfam family "Bacterial small subunit ribosomal RNA", at positions 28 to 754 of the family's 1533-position model. The record is from RNAcentral.
AUUGAACGCUGGCGGAAUGCUUUACACAUGCAAGUCGAACGGCAGCAUAGAGAGCUUGCUCUCUGAUGGCGAGUGGCGAACGGGUGAGUAAUAUAUCGGAACGUGCCUAGUAAUGGGGAAUAACUAGCUGAAAGGUUAGCUAAUGCCGCAUACGACCUACGGGUGAAAGCAGGGGAUCUUCGGACCUUGCGUUAUUAGAGCGGCCGAUAUCUGAUUAGCUUGUUGGUGGGGUAAUGGCCUACCAAGGCGACGAUCAGUAGCUGGUCUGAGAGGACGAUCAGCCACACUGGAACUGAGACACGGUCCAGACUCCUACGGGAGGCAGCAGUGGGGAAUUUUGGACAAUGGGGGCAACCCUGAUCCAGCCAUUCCGCGUGAGUGAAGAAGGCCUUCGGGUUGUAAAGCUCUUUCGCAAGAGAAGAAAACUUGCUAUCUAAUAAAUAGUAAGUAUGACGGUAUCUUGACAAGAAGCACCGGCUAACUACGUGCCAGCAGCCGCGGUAAUACGUAGGGUGCAAGCGUUAAUCGGAAUUACUGGGCGUAAAGCGUGCGCAGGCAGUUUUAUAAGUCAGAUGUGAAAUCCCCGAGCUCAACUUGGGAACUGCGUUUGAAACUAUAAGACUAGAGUGUGUCAGAGGGGGGUAGAAUUCCAAGUGUAGCAGUGAAAUGCGUAGAGAUUUGGAGGAAUACCAAUGGCGAAGGCAGCCCCCUGGGAUAACACUGACGCUCAUGCAC